RNAcentral lists this ribosomal RNA (871 nucleotides) under uncultured bacterium. RNAcentral's name for it is "bacterial SSU rRNA". It matches the Rfam family "Bacterial small subunit ribosomal RNA", at positions 30 to 885 of the family's 1533-position model. The record is from RNAcentral.
CAGUCGAACGCGUCUUGGUUAUUGAUGUUAGAUGCUUGCAUUUAACUGAUUUAACAUUGAGACGAGUGGCGAACUGGUGAGUAACACGUGGGUAACCUGCCCUUGAAGUAGGGGAUAACACUUGGAAACAGGUGCUAAUACCGUAUAACAACCAAAACCACCUGGUUUUGGUUUAAAAGAUGGCUUCGGCUAUCACUUUAGGAUGGACCCGCGGCGUAUUAGCUUGUUGGUAAGGUAACGGCCUACCAAGGCAAUGAUACGUAGCCGACCUGAGAGGGUAAUCGGCCACAUUGGGACUGAGACACGGCCCAAACUCCUACGGGAGGCAGCAGUAGGGAAUCUUCCACAAUGGACGAAAGUCUGAUGGAGCAACGCCGCGUGAGUGAUGAAGGGUUUCGGCUCGUAAAACUCUGUUGUUGGAGAAGAACAGGUGUGAGAGUAACUGUCCACAUCUUGACGGUAUCCAACCAGAAAGCCACGGCUAACUACGUGCCAGCAGCCGCGGUAAUACGUAGGUGGCAAGCGUUGUCCGGAUUUAUUGGGCGUAAAGCGAGCGCAGGCGGUUUCUUAGGUCUGAUGUGAAAGCCUUCGGCUUAACCGGAGAAGUGCAUCGGAAACCAGGAGACUUGAGUGCAGAAGAGGACAGUGGAACUCCAUGUGUAGCGGUGAAAUGCGUAGAUAUAUGGAAGAACACCAGUGGCGAAGGCGGCUGUCUGGUCUGUAACUGACGCUGAGGCUCGAAAGCAUGGGUAGCGAACAGGAUUAGAUACCCUGGUAGUCCAUGCCGUANACGAUGAGUGCUAAGUGUUGGAGGGUUUCCGCCCUUCAGUGCUGCAGCUAACGCAUUAAGCACUCCGCCUGGGGAGUACGA